Molecule: ribosomal RNA, 2852 nt
Filed under: Clostridioides difficile
Lineage: Bacteria; Bacillati; Bacillota; Clostridia; Peptostreptococcales; Peptostreptococcaceae
Description: bacterial LSU rRNA
Rfam family: Bacterial large subunit ribosomal RNA
Source: RNAcentral
UCAAGUUAUUAAGGGUGCAGGGCGGAUGCCUUGGCACUAGGAGCCGAUGAAGGACGUGAUAAGCUGCGAUAAGCUUCGGGGAGUUGCACGUAAACUUUGAUCCGAAGAUUUCCGAAUGAGGAAACUCACUUAGAGUAAUGUCUAAGUAUCAUUAAGUGAAUACAUAGCUUAAUGAGGGGAACUCAGGGAACUGAAACAUCUAAGUACCUGAAGGAAGAGAAAGAAAUUCGAUUCCGUAAGUAGCGGCGAGCGAACGCGGAUUAGCCCAAACCAAUAAAGUUUUCUUUAUUGGGGUUGCGGACAUAUCAUAACGAAGAGGUAUCGUAAUUGAAGAGGUUUGGAAAGACCCACCACAGAAGGUAAUAGUCCUGUAUGUUAAACGAGAAGACUUUAGAUAUGAUCCAGAGUACCACGGGACACGUGAAACCCUGUGGGAAGCAGGAGGGACCACCCUCCAAGGCUAAAUACUACCUAGUGACCGAUAGCGUAUAGUACCGUGAGGGAAAGGUGAAAAGAACCCCGGGAGGGGAGUGAAAUAGAACCUGAAACCCUGCACUUACAAGCUGUGGAAGCACAUUUCUUGUGUGACCGCGUACUUUUUGUAGAACGGGCCAACGAGUUACGUUAAGUAGCAAGGUUAAGCACUUAAGGUGUGGAGCCGUAGCGAAAGCGAGUUUUAACUGAGCGUUCAGUUACUUGACGUAGACCCGAAACCGGGCGACCUACCCAUGAGCAGGAUGAAGCGAAAGUAAAAUUUCGUGGAGGUCCGAACCCACGAGCGUUGAAAAGCUCGGGGAUGACUUGUGGGUAGCGGUGAAAUUCCAAUCGAGCCCGGAGAUAGCUGGUUCUCCCCGAAAUAGCUUUAGGGCUAGCCUCAAGGUGAGAGAUACGGAGGUAGAGCACUGAAUGUCCUAGGGGGUAUUGCACCUACCGAAGACUAUCAAACUCCGAAUGCCGUCAUCUUAUACUUGGGAGUCAGACUGUGGGUGAUAAGAUUCAUAGUCGAAAGGGCAACAGCCCAGAUCGUCAGCUAAGGUCCCUAAAUGUAAGUUAAGUGGUAAAGGAUGUGGGAUUGCACAGACAACCAGGAUGUUGGCUUAGAAGCAGCCACUCAUUCAAAGAGUGCGUAAUAGCUCACUGGUCGAGUGAUCCUGCGCCGAAGAUUUCCGGGGCUAAAACUUACUACCGAAGCUACGGCAUCAGUAAUGAUGGGUAGGGGAGCUUCCCAUACGGGUUGAAGCAUGACCGUAAGGACAUGUGGACAGUAUGGGAGUGAGAAUGUUGGCAUGAGUAGCGAGAUGUGGGUGAGAAUCCCACAGGCCGUAAACCCAAGGUUUCCAGGGGAAGGUUCGUCCGCCCUGGGUUAGUCGGGACCUAAGCUGAGGCCGAAAGGCGUAGGUGAUGGACAACAGGUUGAUAUUCCUGUACUACCGAUAACCGUUUGAGAGAAGGGAUGACACAGUAGGAUAAGCUAAGCACACUGUUGGUUAUGUGUGCCCAAGCAUUGAGGCAGUCAAAGUAGGCAAAUCCGCUUUGAUAAUGCUGGGAUGUGAUGGGGAGCGAAAUUUAGUAGCGAAGUAGCUGAUUUCACACUGUCAAGAAAAGUCUCUAUCGAGGUUAAAGGUACCCGUACCGCAAACCGACACAGGUGGGUGAGGAGAGUAUCCUAAGGCCAGCGAGAGAACUGUUGUUAAGGAACUCGGCAAAAUGACCCCGUAACUUAGGGAUAAGGGGUGCCACCAUCAGGUGGCCGCAGAGAAUAGGCCCAAGCGACUGUUUACCAAAAACAUAGGUUUCUGCUAAGUCGCAAGACGAUGUAUAGGAGCUGACGCCUGCCCGGUGCUGGAAGGUUAAGGGGAUCUGUUAGAGCAAUCGAAGCAGUGAACUUAAGCCCCAGUAAACGGCGGCCGUAACUAUAACGGUCCUAAGGUAGCGAAAUUCCUUGUCGGGUAAGUUCCGACCCGCACGAAAGGCGUAACGAUUUGGGCACUGUCUCAACAACAGACUCGGUGAAAUUGUAAUUCCGGUGAAGAUGCCGGAUACCUGCGACAGGACGGAAAGACCCCAUGGAGCUUUACUGUAGCUUGACAUUGGGUCUUGGUACUACAUGUACAGGAUAGGUGGGAGGCUUUGAAACCAGGACGCCAGUUUUGGCGGAGCCAUCCUUGGGAUACCACCCUUGUAGUACUGGGACUCUAACCAUAGGCCAUGAAUCUGGUCUUGGGACACUGUCAGGUGGGCAGUUUGACUGGGGCGGUCGCCUCCCAAAAGGUAACGGAGGCGCUCAAAGGUUCUCUCAGUACGGUCGGAAAUCGUACGUAGAGUGUAAAGGCAAAAGAGAGCUUGAUUGCAAGACAUACAGGUCGAGCAAGGAUGAAAAUCGGACUUAGUGAUCCGGUGGUUCUGCGUGGAAGGGCCAUCGCUCAACGGAUAAAAGCUACCCUGGGGAUAACAGGCUUAUCUCCCCCAAGAGUCCACAUCGACGGGGAGGUUUGGCACCUCGAUGUCGGCUCAUCACAUCCUGGGGCUGUAGUAGGUCCCAAGGGUUGGGCUGUUCGCCCAUUAAAGUGGUACGCGAGCUGGGUUCAGAACGUCGUGAGACAGUUCGGUCCCUAUCCGUCGCAGGCGUAGGAAAUUUGAGAAGACCUGUCCUUAGUACGAGAGGACCGGGAUGGACGUACCUCUGGUGUACCAGUUGUCCUGCCAAGGGCAUGGCUGGGUAGCUAUGUACGGAAUGGAUAAGCGCUGAAAGCAUCUAAGCGCGAAGCCAACUUCAAGAUAAGAUUUCCCACCGCAAGGGUAAGACCCCAGAAAGACUAUCUGGUUGAUAGGUCGAAGGUGUAAGUGCAGCA